GGCAGGCUUAACACAUGCAAGUCGAACGAACUCUUCGGAGUUAGUGGCAGACGGGUGAGUAACGCGUGGGAAUAUACCUUUCGGUACGGAACAACAGUUGGAAACGACUGCUAAUACCGUAUGCGCCCUAUGGGGGAAAGAUUUAUCGCCGAAGGAUUAGCCCGCGUUGGAUUAGCUAGUUGGUGGGGUAAAGGCCUACCAAGGCGACGAUCCAUAGCUGGUCUGAGAGGAUGAUCAGCCACACUGGGACUGAGACACGGCCCAGACUCCUACGGGAGGCAGCAGUGGGGAAUAUUGGACAAUGGGGGCAACCCUGAUCCAGCCAUGCCGCGUGAGUGAUGAAGGCCCUAGGGUUGUAAAGCUCUUUCAGCGAGGAGGAUAAUGACGUUACUCGCAGAAGAAGCCCCGGCUAACUUCGUGCCAGCAGCCGCGGUAAUACGAAGGGGGCUAGCGUUGUUCGGAAUCACUGGGCGUAAAGCGCACGUAGGCGGAUUGGUCAGUUAGGGGUGAAAUCCCAGAGCUCAACUCUGGAACUGCCUUUAAUACUGCCAGUCUUGAGUCCGAGAGAGGUGAGUGGAACUCCGAGUGUAGAGGUGAAAUUCGUAGAUAUUCGGAAGAACACCAGUGGCGAAGGCGGCUCACUGGCUCGGUACUGACGCUGAGGUGCGAA
Molecule: ribosomal RNA, 670 nt
Filed under: uncultured Alphaproteobacteria bacterium
Lineage: Bacteria; Pseudomonadati; Pseudomonadota; Alphaproteobacteria
Description: bacterial SSU rRNA
Rfam family: Bacterial small subunit ribosomal RNA
Source: RNAcentral